Molecule: ribosomal RNA, 449 nt
Filed under: uncultured bacterium
Lineage: Bacteria
Description: partial 16S ribosomal RNA
Rfam family: Bacterial small subunit ribosomal RNA
Source: RNAcentral
AACGAACGCUGGCGGCAUGCCUAACACAUGCAAGUCGAACGAGACCUUCGGGUCUAGUGGCGCACGGGUGCGUAACACGUGGGAAUCUGCCCUUCGGUUCGGAAUAACAGUUAGAAAUGACUGCUAAUACCGGAUGAUGACGUAAGUCCAAAGAUUUAUCGCCGAAGGAUGAGCCCGCGUAGGAUUAGGUAGUUGGUGGGGUAAUGGCCUACCAAGCCGACGAUCCUUAGCUGGUCUGAGAGGAUGAUCAGCCACACUGGGACUGAGACACGGCCCAGACUCCUACGGGAGGCAGCAGUGGGGAAUAUUGGACAAUGGGCGCAAGCCUGAUCCAGCAAUGCCGCGUGAGUGAUGAAGGCCUUAGGGUUGUAAAGCUCUUUUACCAGGGAUGAUAAUGACAGUACCUGGAGAAUAAGCUCCGGCUAACUCCGUGCCAGCCGCCGCAGUAA